This is a non-coding RNA of Gossypium raimondii (Peruvian cotton), 149 nucleotides long. Lineage: Eukaryota; Viridiplantae; Streptophyta; Magnoliopsida; Malvales; Malvaceae. The record is from Rfam.
UAUUAAAAAUUUCAUCUAUUUCUACUAUUAAAAAUUGACGUGAUUAACAGAAUAACCAAACCGUUAUACAUGGCGUGUCAUGUGUAUCUCAUUCUAUCUUACAUACAUGGACUGGUUUUUAACAAUAGAAAUGGAUGAAAUUUUUUAUA